GACAGAGGUCCCGAGCGUUAGGCGGAAUCACUGGGCUUAAAGCGUGUGUAGGCGGAGUGCUAAGUACCUUGUGAAAUCCCACGGCUCAACCGUGGAACUGCUUGGUAUACUGGUUCUCUUGAGCCACCUAGGGGCAACCGGAACAAACGGUGGAGCGGUGAAAUGCGUAGAUAUCGUAAGGAAGACCAGUGGCGAAGGCGGGUCUCUGGACAGUUCCUGACGCUGAGGCACGAAGGUCAGGGGAGCAAACGGG
This 253-nucleotide ribosomal RNA is filed under the name uncultured bacterium. Its description in RNAcentral is "partial 16S ribosomal RNA". It matches the Rfam family "Bacterial small subunit ribosomal RNA", at positions 524 to 776 of the family's 1533-position model. The record is from RNAcentral.